UCAGGGGUAGUCUACACCAGACAUUUGAUUUCGACUCAAAAGACCUUACACAAAUAAGUCCCUGCA
Molecule: transfer RNA, 66 nt
Filed under: Python bivittatus (Burmese python)
Lineage: Eukaryota; Metazoa; Chordata; Lepidosauria; Squamata; Pythonidae
Description: tRNA-Arg
Source: RNAcentral